AGUGAACGCUGGCGGUAGGCCUAACACAUGCAAGUCGAACGGCAGCACAGUAAGAGCUUGCUCUUACGGGUGGCGAGUGGCGGACGGGUGAGGAAUACAUCGGAAUCUACUUUUUCGUGGGGGAUAACGUAGGGAAACUUACGCUAAUACCGCAUACGACCUACGGGUGAAAGCAGGGGAUCUUCGGACCUUGCGCGAUUGAAUGAGCCGAUGUCGGAUUAGCUAGUUGGCGGGGUAAAGGCCCACCAAGGCGACGAUCCGUAGCUGGUCUGAGAGGAUGGUCACCCACACUGGAACUGAGACACGGUCCAGACUCCUACGGGAGGCAGCAGUGGGGAAUAGUAGACAAUGGGCGCGAGCCUGAUCCAGCCAUACCGCGUGGGUGAAGAAGGCGUUCGGGUUGGAAAGCCCUUUUGUUGGGAAAGAAAAGCAGCAGGUUAAUACCCCGCUGUUCUGACGGUACCCAAAGAAUAAGCACCGGCUAACUUCGUG
This 492-nucleotide ribosomal RNA is filed under the name uncultured bacterium. Its description in RNAcentral is "partial 16S ribosomal RNA". It matches the Rfam family "Bacterial small subunit ribosomal RNA", at positions 29 to 507 of the family's 1533-position model. The record is from RNAcentral.